RNAcentral lists this ribosomal RNA (118 nucleotides) under Pteropus alecto (black flying fox). The record is from RNAcentral. Lineage: Eukaryota; Metazoa; Chordata; Mammalia; Chiroptera; Pteropodidae.
AUCUACGGCCAUGCCACCCCGAACACACCCGAUCUUGUCUGAUCUCGGAAGCUAAGCAGGGUCAGGACUGGUUAGUACUUGAUGGGAAACCACCUAGGAAGACCAGGUGCUGUAGGCG